AUAGUUACAUAAUAGGUGAGGUUGAAUAGAGACACAGGUUCAUUAGGUUCAACCUUGUGUGUGCAUGUGCAUGUGUGUGUAUGUGU
Long non-coding RNA from Nanorana parkeri, 86 nucleotides. RefSeq lists it as uncharacterized. The transcript has 3 exons. The record is from RefSeq and is a predicted model, not a curated record. Lineage: Eukaryota; Metazoa; Chordata; Amphibia; Anura; Dicroglossidae.